AGGGAGGGAAGACAGUGAGCAGCUGUGCAGACAGCAGGCUGGGGGCUGGGAAGAAAUGGCUCAGAGACAGAUGGGGGAGCGGCUCAGAGCCCCCGAUGAGUUUUCAUUAGAUGCAAGAGGCAGCCAGAGGCCCCUGUUUGCAGCAGCAAACCACAUGUGCCCAGCCAUGGAGAAGGGGAAAUGGGUGGGCAGCUGGGGAAUGUUCUGGAGGAGGAACACAGGCUCGGUGACUGAACAACCUCCAGGGAGGACACAGGCUGUCGCCCUUUGCUGUAGAGAGGUGAGCUGGGGCGGGGCUCUGACAGGGGACACCAAGGGCGAACGAACAAUGGGCUGGCGGUCUCACGCUUCACAUCGAUGGGUGGGAAGCCAACUCCAGCUCCCGGUGUGGGUGUGGUGAGGCAGAAGGGCAUGGACAGAGCUCUCGAAACCCAUGGGAAAGGGAAGGAGGGCCGCUAAGAGGAACAUAAAAGAUCUCCAGGAACUCAGGCUCCCUGGUGGGGCCCUAGCUUUCCUGGAAGCUCCUCAGGCGAUUAAGGAACCACAGCAGCCUCUGAAGAAGGAGUGGACACUGUCCAGGCUAAAGAGAAGCUCUUUAGAAGAAUGACAAGACAGACCUGUGUUUUCUAACAGCAGCUCUGGAGGAAGAGGACACGUAAAGAGGGAUCAAACUCAGGACCUUGCGCUUUCGAGGCAGGUGCCCGAACCACUGAGCUAAAUCCUUGGCCCAAGACCUCAUCAUUCUUGAUUGAGAAAGAAAACUAUACAACUAUAAAACACUAAAUGGAACUCUUAGAACACAGGCCUGGCUCUCUGCUGUUCGCUGAAGCUGCUCCCUAGUGUGAUGGGUCACACGUGGUUUCCUUCUCACAGGGACUUCUGCAACAUGGCUGCUUGUGACAUCAAGCCCACAGGGAGAGCCCCUGGCUCAGUUUGCUAAGACUGGACUAAAGGAUGCCCAGAAACUGGAUGAAGCAUUAUUUCUGGCUGUGUCCAUGAGGUGCUUCUGGAGGAGAAUGACACUGAAAAGUCAGACUGAGCAGAGAAGACCCGUCCUUACUCAGACAGGAGGUCAUUAUCCCAUCUACAGAGGGCCUGAACAGAACACAAAGGCCAAGCAAGGGGAGUCUGCUUCCAUUUCAGCUUGGCACCAUUUUCCCCUGCCCUGGGACACUGGUGUUCCUGGUUCUUGAGCCUUCAGACUCAGACCGGGACUAGCUUCAUUUGUCCCAGGUUUCCAGGACUCAGACUGAAUGAAACCACCAGUUUUCCUGGCGCUCUGUCAUGCUGUGGGCAGACCGUGGGACUUCUCAGCAUGUGUAAUCAUCAGUCAAUUCCCAUCCUAAAUCUCUUCAUUUAUCUCGGAUUGGGUCAGUUUCUCAGGAGAAUCUGAUUAAUAUAAUCUGUAAGCUCAGUGUUUUUGCCAUUAAGAAAUAAAGAAUGAAGAGC
Heterocephalus glaber (naked mole-rat) is the source of this 1449-nucleotide long non-coding RNA. Lineage: Eukaryota; Metazoa; Chordata; Mammalia; Rodentia; Bathyergidae. The record is from Ensembl.